GAUGCCACGUGCGCAGCCUGAUCCAGCCAUGCCGCGUGCGGAUGACGGUCCUAUGGAUUGUAAACUGCUUUUAUACAGGAAGAAACCCCUCUACGUGUAGAGGCUUGACCGGAUGUCAAGAAUAAGGAUCGGCUAACUCCGUGCCAGCAGCCGCGGUAAUACGAUACGGGCCUGUCCUGAAAAUGU
RNAcentral lists this ribosomal RNA (186 nucleotides) under uncultured bacterium. RNAcentral's name for it is "partial 16S ribosomal RNA". It matches the Rfam family "Bacterial small subunit ribosomal RNA", at positions 367 to 554 of the family's 1533-position model. The record is from RNAcentral.